This 500-nucleotide ribosomal RNA is filed under the name uncultured bacterium. RNAcentral's name for it is "partial 16S ribosomal RNA". It matches the Rfam family "Bacterial small subunit ribosomal RNA", at positions 28 to 523 of the family's 1533-position model. The record is from RNAcentral.
GAUGAACGCUAGCGACAGGCUUAACACAUGCAAGUCGAACGGCAGCGGGGACUUCGGUCCGCCGGCGAGUGGCGAACGGGUGAGUAAUGCAUCGGAACGUACCCGGGAGUGGGGGAUAACUAUCCGAAAGGAUAGCUAAUACCGCAUAUUCUGUGAGCAGGAAAGCAGGGGAUCUUCGGACCUUGUGCUUCCGGAGCGGCCGAUGUCAGAUUAGCUAGUUGGUGGGGUAAAGGCCUACCAAGGCGACGAUCUGUAGCGGGUCUGAGAGGAUGAUCCGCCACACUGGAACUGAGACACGGUCCAGACUCCUACGGGAGGCAGCAGUGGGGAAUUUUGGACAAUGGGCGCAAGCCUGAUCCAGCCAUGCCGCGUGAGUGAAGAAGGCCUUCGGGUUGUAAAGCUCUUUCGGCCGGGAAGAAAUCGCGUGAGUUAAUACCUUGCGUGGAUGACGGUACCGGAAUAAGAAGCACCGGCUAACUACGUGCCAGCAGCCGCCGUAA